GACGAACGCUGGCGGCGUGCUUAACACAUGCAAGUCGAACGGAAAGGCCCCUUUGGGGGUCCUCGAGUGGCGACCGGGGGCGUAACACGUGAGUAACCUUCCCUUGACUUCGGGAUAACUUCAGGAAACUGGAGCUAAUACUGGAUAGGAAUCACUUCUGCAAGGGGGGGGUUGGACAGCUUCGGAGGUUUUGGCUGGACUGGAGACUUAUCAGCUUGUUGGUGGGGUAGUGGCUUACCAAGACUUUGACGGGUGGCCGGCCUGAGAGGGCGACCGGCCACAUUGGGACUUAGAGACGGCCGCGACGCCGAAGGUAGGCAGAAGGGGGGAAGAUUGCACGAUCGGCGGAAGCCGGAUGCAGCAGCGCCGCGGGCGGGAUGACUGUCUUCGGGUUGUAGACCGCUUUCAGCAGGGGCGAAGCUUGUGGUGACGGUACCUGCAGAAGAAGCACCGGCUAACUACGUG
This 465-nucleotide ribosomal RNA is filed under the name uncultured bacterium. RNAcentral's name for it is "partial 16S ribosomal RNA". It matches the Rfam family "Bacterial small subunit ribosomal RNA", at positions 28 to 507 of the family's 1533-position model. The record is from RNAcentral.